This 807-nucleotide long non-coding RNA is filed under the name Homo sapiens (human). RNAcentral describes it as "PREDICTED lncRNA (TCONS_00274968)". Lineage: Eukaryota; Metazoa; Chordata; Mammalia; Primates; Hominidae. The record is from RNAcentral.
GAGAACCUGGGGACGCUAGGUUCCGGAACCUGACCUGAGCUGGGGCCUGUGCUUCCAGCGGGUGGUGGGGGGCCUGGUGUGCUGGCAUCAAGUAAGCCGACUACCUCGGCAAAGGCUUAGGGACAAGAGACCAGCAGCCUGAACUGGCUGGGGCAUCCGGAAGGCUUAGAUCUUGUGGCCAAGAGUUCAGACCGUGGCGAAGUGGAGAGUGACAUGCAGUUGGAUGGCGGUGACUGCGUGGUCCUGCAACCCUGGUUCCAGUCUGGCAAGCAUUGUAGACCUGGCUGCUGAAGACUGACGGGGCCCAGGGUCCGCUGCCCCCACCGCCAUCACCACCUCGGAACCCAGGGUAACGCUGUCAGUCUUUGAGCCUACGAGGAAACCAUUCGGAAGCUCCAGAACCCAGGCCCUAAUCACAACGCCCCUAUCCAGCAGGAAGCAGCCAGAUGAUCAACGACGCCCUUUUUCCUUUUUAUACUAAAGUAAGAAAUAAGAAUGUUAGCCCAAACUGCACUAUUUUGCAGACCCCUACCAUUUUACAAACUGGUCAGAGUGGAAAAUUCCACCAGGGCCUGAGCUGUGAGAAACAUCCUGUCAGGCAGGUCCCAGGCCUAACCCCUGGCUGCACUAAAUUCCUUCAUUAUCAGCAGCCAAACACACCGCCCCCACCCCAUUUUCACAACAAUCCCAGACCUCUCCUGCCCGGGACUGUAACUGGUCCAGCCUGUAAGCGGGAAGGGGGCUCUGGCACUAGCUGGUACCCCCUCUCCGCAGGUCUUUCUCCCAAUAAAUCUGUGUUGCCAUUGA